RNAcentral lists this ribosomal RNA (499 nucleotides) under uncultured bacterium. RNAcentral describes it as "bacterial SSU rRNA". It matches the Rfam family "Bacterial small subunit ribosomal RNA", at positions 28 to 524 of the family's 1533-position model. The record is from RNAcentral.
GAUGAACGCUAGCUACAGGCUUAACACAUGCAAGUCGAGGGGUAGCAGGGUAGCAAUACCGCUGACGACCGGCGCACGGGUGAGUAACACGUAUCCAACCUUCCCAUAACUCUGGGAUAGCCUUUCGAAAGAAAGAUUAAUACCGGAUGGCACUUUUUCAAGGCAUCUUGAGAAAGUUAAAGAUUUAUUGGUUAUGGAUGGGGAUGCGUUCCAUUAGAUAGUUGGUGAGGUAACGGCUCACCAAGUCUUCGAUGGAUAGGGGUUCUGAGAGGAAGGUCCCCCACAUUGGUACUGAGACACGGACCAAACUCCUACGGGAGGCAGCAGUGAGGAAUAUUGGUCAAUGGGCGAGAGCCUGAACCAGCCAAGUCGCGUGCAGGAAGAAUGUCCUAUGGAUUGUAAACUGCUUUUGCAGGGGAAUAAAGUUCAGCACGUGUGCUGUUUUGUAUGUACUCUGCGAAUAAGGAUCGGCUAACUCCGUGCCAGCAGCCGCGGUAAA